Molecule: long non-coding RNA, 223 nt
Filed under: Bos taurus (domestic cattle)
Lineage: Eukaryota; Metazoa; Chordata; Mammalia; Artiodactyla; Bovidae
Description: long non-coding RNA NONBTAT020570
Source: RNAcentral
CAUCUACUGUACAUGACAAAAUAUAUAUCUGUGGCUGCAUUUUAUAAUUUUUCAAGGUAGGAUUAUUAUUUUAAUUGAAAUGUAUUUUUCUUGAGACAAAAGGAAUACCUUUUAAUAUGAUACAGAUUUCUUUUAAAUAUUAGGCUAUUUCUUUUCAUACUACCUGAUUGGUUUAAUAACUUGAUGUGACAAGUACAAAAUACAAUUUUUUCAAGUGUAACUG